UUACGGCGUGGACUACCAGGGUAUCUGGUCCUGUUCGCUCCCCACGCUUUCGCGCCUCAGCGUCAUUUACAGACCAGASAGCCGCCUUCGCCACUGGUGUUCCUCCACAUCUCUACGCAUUUCACCGCUACACGUGGAAUUCCGCUCUCCUCUUCUGCACUCAAGUUCCCCAGUUUCCAAUGACCCUCCCCGGUUGAACCGGGGGCUUUCACAUCAGACUUAAGGAACCGCCUGCDCGCNCUUUACGCCCAAUAAUUCCGGACAACGCUUGCCACCUACGUAUUACCGCGGCUGCUGGCACGUAUUAGCCGUGGCUUUCUGGUCAGGUACCGUCAAGGUACCGGCANUUACUCCGAUACUUGUUCUUCCCUGACAACAGAACUUUACAACCCGAAACCUUCAUCGUUCACNCGGCGUUGCUCCGUCAGACUUUCGUCCAUUGCGGAANAUUCCCUACUGCUGCCUCCCGUAGANUCUGGGCCGUGUCUCANUCCCAGUGUGGCCNAUCACCCUSUCAGGUCGGCUACNCAUCGUU
This 535-nucleotide ribosomal RNA is filed under the name Bacillus sp. P151. Its description in RNAcentral is "16S ribosomal RNA". Lineage: Bacteria; Bacillati; Bacillota; Bacilli; Caryophanales; Bacillaceae. The record is from RNAcentral.